ACGUGAGUAACCUGCCCUUGACUCUGGGAUAAGCGUUGGAAACGACGUCUAAUACCGGAUACGACCCGUGGAGGCAUCUCCUACGGGUGGAAAGAAUUUUGGUUGAGGAUGGACUCGCGGCCUAUCAGCUUGUUGGUGAGGUAAUGGCUCACCAAGGCGACGACGGGUAGCCGGCCUGAGAGGGUGACCGGCCACACUGGGACUGAGACACGGCCCAGACUCCUACGGGAGGCAGCAGUGGGGAAUAUUGCACAAUGGGCGAAAGCCUGAUGCAGCAACGCCGCGUGAGGGACGACGGCC
This 300-nucleotide ribosomal RNA is filed under the name uncultured Microbacteriaceae bacterium. RNAcentral describes it as "bacterial SSU rRNA". It matches the Rfam family "Bacterial small subunit ribosomal RNA", at positions 115 to 416 of the family's 1533-position model. Lineage: Bacteria; Bacillati; Actinomycetota; Actinomycetes; Micrococcales; Microbacteriaceae. The record is from RNAcentral.